RNAcentral lists this ribosomal RNA (332 nucleotides) under uncultured bacterium. RNAcentral describes it as "bacterial SSU rRNA". It matches the Rfam family "Bacterial small subunit ribosomal RNA", at positions 568 to 898 of the family's 1533-position model. The record is from RNAcentral.
UGCGCAGGCGGCCGUGUGUGUGAGGCGUGAAAGCCCGGGGCUUAACCCCGGAAUUGCACCUCAAACUACAUGGCUAGAGCAUUGGAGAGGGUAGCAGAAUUCACGGUGUAGCAGUGAAAUGCGUAGAUAUCGUGAGGAAUACCAGAGGCGAAGGCGGCUACUUGGACAAUUGCUGACGCUCAGGCACGAAAGCGUGGGGAGCAAAAGGGAUUAGAUACCCCUGUAGUCCACGCCCUAAACGGUGCACACUAGGUCUUGGCGGAUUCGACCCCCCCAGGGCCCAAGCUAACGCGUUAAGUGUGCCGCCUGAGGACUACGGUCGCAAGACUAAA